UGCGCAGAGCGUGUUUCAUCACGAUAUUGCGGAAACUCACCCCCUUGAGGCGGGCAGUCCGCACAUAUUGCGCCGUCAUAACUUCGGCCAUUGAGGCCCGUGUCAUACGCGCGAUAUAGCCCAUACCGUACAAGGCAACGGUUAGGACCGGCAGGGUAAAGUUCUGAAAGGUGGCCUUA
Molecule: non-coding RNA, 179 nt
Filed under: Shimia gijangensis
Lineage: Bacteria; Pseudomonadati; Pseudomonadota; Alphaproteobacteria; Rhodobacterales; Roseobacteraceae
Description: Pseudopelagicola gijangensis Ruegeria cis52 sRNA
Rfam family: Ruegeria cis52 sRNA
About the family: Cis-encoded. Targets oligo/dipeptide ABC transporter. Functions in transport.
Source: Rfam by way of RNAcentral